UUCACACACUAACUAGAAUGUCGUGGUUUACAAACUAGGAAGUCACUGCCUUCUGUCUGAUGAAAAAUUCUGGAGAGCUGGGGUCAGAAAAAAAGAAAAGUCGUAAGCGGAUCCCCCAAACAGAAUGCCCCAGGAAUUCACUUUUGUGCUUAGAAGAAGGACAGGAAAAGUAACCAAAACCCCAGGACUGAGAACCAGUCAUUGCCCUUCAUUACAGAUCCAGGACCCACAAGAAAAGGAGAGCUUCACCAGGAAGUAACUAGCUACAGAACAAGACACACCAUUGCAUUGAAUCUGCCUGGAGAAAACUCUGAGGGCUAAGGGGUGGACAGAGCUACAAGACCGAGAAUCUUGAAUCCCUAAAGGAUGACAUCAAAGGCCACUUGUCAGCUAGACACACCCAACUGGACUCUAUUUAAAUGAGAAAUAAAAUUCAGCUAUUUUAAGCCACUGAGAUGGAGAGGAUAUUCUGAAGUUGUG
Molecule: long non-coding RNA, 480 nt
Filed under: Homo sapiens (human)
Lineage: Eukaryota; Metazoa; Chordata; Mammalia; Primates; Hominidae
Description: HSALNT0361763
Source: RNAcentral